GCUGAACCUAAGCAUAUCAAUAAGCGGAGGAAAAGAAACCAACAGGGAUUGCCUUAGUAACUGCGAGUGAAGCGGCAAAAGCUCAGAUUUGAAACCUGUCGCCUCUGGCGAUCGGAUUGUAAUCUGGAGAGACAUCUUCUGGUGGGCAGCCGGUCCAAGUUCCUUGGAACAGGACGUCGGAGAGGGUGAGAAUCCCGUAUCUGGCCGGUUUGUUCUACCUUGUGAAGCGUCUUCGACGAGUCGAGUUGUUUGGGAAUGCAGCUCAAAAUGGGUGGUAAAUUUCAUCUAAAGCUAAAUAUUGGCGAGAGACCGAUAGCGCACAAGUAGAGUGAUCGAAAGAUGAAAAGCACUUUGAAAAGAGAGUCAAAAAGUACGUGAAAUUGUUGAAAGGGAAGCGCUUGAGACCAGACUCGGGUUGGGGUGAUCAGCGGUGCUUCUGUGCCGUGCACUUGUCCCUUCCCGGGCCAGCAUCGGUUGCGACGGCGGGAUAAAGGCCCGAGGAAUGUGGCUCCCUCCGGGGAGUGUUAUAGCCUCGGGCGCAAUGCCGCCUGCCGCGACCGAGGACCGCGCUUCGGCUAGGAUGCUGGCAUAAUGGUCUUCAGCGACCCGUCUUGAAACACGGACCAAGGAGUCUAACAUCUAUGCGAGUGUUCGGGUGUAAAACCCCUGCGCGUAAUGAAAGUGAACGGAGGUGGGAACCCUUCACGGGGUGCACCAUCGACCGAUCCUGAUGUCUUCGGAUGGAUUUGAGUAGGAGCAUAGCUGUUGGGACCCGAAAGAUGGUGAACUAUGCCUGAAUAGGGUGAAGCCAGAGGAAACUCUGGUGGAGGCUCGCAGCGGUUCUGACGUGCAAAUCGAUCGUCAAAUUUGGGUAUAGGGGCGAAAGACUAAUCGAACCAUCUAGUAGCUGGUUCCUGCCGAAGUUUCCCUCAGGAA
This 936-nucleotide ribosomal RNA is filed under the name Sarcoscypha austriaca. Its description in RNAcentral is "eukaryotic LSU rRNA". It matches the Rfam family "Eukaryotic large subunit ribosomal RNA", at positions 27 to 979 of the family's 3401-position model. The record is from RNAcentral. Lineage: Eukaryota; Fungi; Ascomycota; Pezizomycetes; Pezizales; Sarcoscyphaceae.